GUCUUUUCAUGUCUUCCUCGCAAAUGACAUUGCAAGCUAGAGGAAGAGGAGGACACCCUGUGCCCUUUUAGGGAAGUAUCUGCACAAUUCUAGGCAGGCUGUGGACAAUUCAGAUAGGUGAGCAGACAUAGCUAUCUCCUGGGAAACAAAUCUUUUUGUGAGAAUCUCUAUUUUCCUGAAGGAGAAAACCUCUUUCAGGAAACCUGUGGGUUCCUAAGUUUGUGCGGCAUUAGCUUGCACAGUUCACAUUGAAAAGGAUAUUAAAGCAGUCUUUAAAAAUAAUUACAAAUAAUAUUCCUUUUUCUUUUUCUGCAUUAAUAAUACUUUGUUUGUCAUUCAUUCAGGCACAAUGCAGCACUGAACCAAGUCUUCCUUUAAAUAAUCCUGCUUCCAGCUGGUUACAUUGUUCACCCAAAUCUGUGUGUGAGUGGCAGUCGAAGGCUUGAUUUCCCCUUCCUGAUGUAAUUUAAAUACGAAGCCUCUGUGUGUUCAUCUUGCCAGCAGUCCUCUCCCACAUCCUGGUGGCCUGGGGCAGCGGGGCGCAGGGCAGAGCCUGCCGGGGCCCCUUCUCUUGGGGCGCCUUCCUCCGAGGCAGCCUUGUGCCAGAGGCUGUGCCCCAGGGCUCGCUCAGAGGGGGAGAGUUGGGCACAAAGGCAGUCCUGCUGGCUAGAAAAGAGAAGGAAAACUGUGCAAUUUAAGGGGUGCCCACUGUUAUUGUGUGUAAAAGCUUUUUUUUUGUUUUUUUUUUUUGUUUUUUGGAAUUUUUUCCUUUGCCUGAUACUAUUCUGCAGUGUGCAUUAUUCCAGGGAAGGGAAGAGAUCCGAUAGUACAGCCUGCCUCACUGCUCCAGACGGUAACUGGUCCUUGGCAUUGCAGAGUAAACGUGUGGGAUACAGGACUCUACUCAGCUUGGAACCCUUGGAACUGCAGCCCAACAGAAAACUCCCAUCUCAGAUUUGGCCAGGAUGACUUCAAGGCAUUUGUCUGAGUUUGCACAGUUGAAUGGUGUGGAGGACAGAGCCAUGGUGGGGAAAAGAAUGAAGAACAAUUAGAAGAUGUGAUAUCCAGGGAGCAGCAUGGGAAAUUCAGCCAGAGCUGAAGGUAAGAAGUGGAGGCAGGAAUUCAGGAAUUCCUCUGAGUCUGCAGCAUGGGAGGAGAUUGUUUUGCUUUAUAUGAACUAUGAGUGCACUUUUG
RNAcentral lists this long non-coding RNA (1194 nucleotides) under Struthio camelus australis. RNAcentral's name for it is "lncRNA (ENSSCUG00000003978.1)". Lineage: Eukaryota; Metazoa; Chordata; Aves; Struthioniformes; Struthionidae. The record is from RNAcentral.